Molecule: long non-coding RNA, 1306 nt
Organism: Stegostoma tigrinum
Lineage: Eukaryota; Metazoa; Chordata; Chondrichthyes; Orectolobiformes; Stegostomatidae
Exons: 3
Source: RefSeq, a predicted model, not a curated record
UCAUGGCCUCUCCCUGGGAGACCCUGUGCCCAGAUCAACCUGUUCGUUGGGGGAGAGAAACUGAACGGUCGCUGGACCCGACACGUUAACUGCUCUUUUUUCUAUAAAAACAAAAACCCCCUUAUGCCCACGGAUGGUGCAGUUUCUGUCGCAGCUCUUCUAGUGAGGGCGGUAGUGCCCCUACCUCUGGGCCAGGAGCCCCGGGCUCAACGAUCCCCAGCCCCACAGGUUGAUCAGGCAAAAAAGAAAGUACACAUACAUGCAAUGCACCUGUUCCAACUCAACAAACAUCCGUGAUCUUUCAAUCAAAAUUUCCUCCAGACCCAACUCCAGCUCUUGACACUGCCUCACGCCACGAGGAAAAUCCGUCACAAGGCUGCAGAGGACCAAAAACACUCACACAGUGAUUCAAGCAGAGAAACCUGAUCAGGGUCUGUCACGUGCAAGAACAACACCCCCACCACUACCUCCCCCCACCCCCUAAUCCCCACUCCCACAAGAGGGAAGAUACAACAGAAAACAGACUUCUGCAUUUUUUUUUCUAAAUAACUGGUCCUAUGCACCACAAUAAAGAGUACAUAAUGGGCUUACGACCAGAGCAUCUUGGAAUACUGCAAAUUCUCAUUAGAAAAACCAUCAGUUCAAAGCAGACAAGCCAGCUCUGCCACUGCCUGUUAUUUAAUUCACACACUUCUUUACCAAUAUGUAUUUUGGAUUGUGAAUCAAAAUGGGAAAAGACCACUUUAAGCCAAGAACUCACUGAGCAUUGUAUUCACACUAUACGUCAUUCAUGCAUUAUGACAUGUAGAUCCCUCUGCAAUCUCUUCACCAUUUAAGAAAUAUCCUUUUCUUAAUUCUGCUGCCAAAAUGGACAAUUUUAUAUUAUCCCCACAUAUUCCCGUUUGCCACAUCUUUGCCCUUAGCUUACUGAUAUUCCUCUGAAGUCUUCUGUUGCUCUCUUCACAAACUUUUCUACCUGUCCUUGUGUCAUCAGUAAAUUUAGCAACUAUACCUUCAGUCCAUUCAUCCAAGUAAUUUAUACAGGUUGUAAAGAGGAGGACCUAGUACUGAUUCCUGCGGAACACCAUGCAUUACACCUUGCCGACCAGAAAAUUACCUAUUUAAUCCUAUUCUGUUUCCUGUUAGCAGCCAAUCUUUUACACAUUCCAAAUAUACUAUCCUCUACACUUUUAAGAUUUUAAUUACUGCAAUAACCUUUAGUGUAGCAAAUUAUUUGAUGUCUUCUGGAAAUCUAAGUACAGUAGAUCCACCAAUUCCUCUUUAUUCAGUUGUUAUAUAUACACAU